GCCGGGUGUGGUGGCGUGCGCCUGUAGUCCCAGCUACUUGGGAGGCCGAGGCUGGAGGAUCACUUGAGCUCAGGAGUUCUGGGCUGCAGUGCACUAUGCCGAUUGGGUGUCCACACUAAGUUCGGCAUCAAUAUCUUGACCUUCCGGGAGCGGGGGACCACCAGGUUGCUUAAGGAGGGGUGAACCGGCCCAGGUCGGAAACAACAGUCAGUUUCCACUACUGUGAACCCUUUAAGUACCUUACUGAGACACAAGUCAAUCUUGGCAACAGUGAUCAGU
This 279-nucleotide signal recognition particle RNA is filed under the name Erinaceus europaeus (western European hedgehog). Its description in RNAcentral is "Metazoan signal recognition particle RNA". It matches the Rfam family "Metazoan signal recognition particle RNA". Rfam says of the family: The signal recognition particle (SRP) is a universally conserved ribonucleoprotein. It is involved in the co-translational targeting of proteins to membranes. Lineage: Eukaryota; Metazoa; Chordata; Mammalia; Eulipotyphla; Erinaceidae. The record is from Rfam by way of RNAcentral.